CCCUAUGGGGCGCAGCAGGCGGCGCAGCAUGCUGUGGAAGAUGUAGACGGCUUCCGUGGAUAGGCCCGCUUUCGUCCGCAUCGGCGGCGCACCGCUGCGCGCCCGGGCGUGGUACGCGCGGAAGAUGAAGCCGAAAGCGUCGACGAGGUAAAGCCGCGGCGGGGGCAUGCCCCUAAUCAUAUCCCUCGCGGGCCGGCAUAGGUAGUCGUGCCACACUCCGUCGCUCAAGUGUGGCGUAAACGCAACAGUUUGCGUUCUUUAAUACACUGAAAAUAAAGAUGUUACAGAUGGAUGGAAGGUUGCUAUCCUGUGGGUGUCGUUUGGUGAAACCCAAGCCGACGGAGGGUAACAUUGCGAUUCGAAACGACCAUUCAGAAGCCGGUUGCCGCCUCAGGCGUGGGCCUGCAUAGCGGAGGGC
RNAcentral lists this ribosomal RNA (418 nucleotides) under uncultured prokaryote. RNAcentral describes it as "partial 16S ribosomal RNA". The record is from RNAcentral.